RNAcentral lists this ribosomal RNA (459 nucleotides) under uncultured bacterium. RNAcentral describes it as "partial 16S ribosomal RNA". It matches the Rfam family "Bacterial small subunit ribosomal RNA", at positions 338 to 795 of the family's 1533-position model. The record is from RNAcentral.
CCUACGGGUGGCUGCAGUGAGGAAUAUUGGUCAAUGGCCGGAAGGCUGAACCAGCCAAGCCGCGUGAAGGACGAAGGUGCCAAGCAUUGUAAACUUCUUUUGUCAAGGGACAAAAUCAGGCUCGAGAGCCUGACCGAGGGUACUUGAAGAAAAAGCAUCGGCUAACUCCGUGCCAGCAGCCGCGGUAAUACGGAGGAUGCGAGCGUUAUCCGGAUUUAUUGGGUUUAAAGGGUGCGUAGGCGGACUGUUAAGUCAGCGGUAAAAGCCCGGGGCUCAACCCCGGCGAGCCGUUGAAACUGGCUGUCUUGAGAUGUCGAGAGGUAUGCGGAAUUCCUAGUGUAGCGGUGAAAUGCGUAGAUAUUAGGAGGAACACCGGUGGCGAAGGCGGCUUACUGGACUGUAACUGACGUUGAGGCUCGAAAGCGUGGGGAGCAAACAGGAUUAGAUACCCUGGUAGUC